Molecule: long non-coding RNA, 283 nt
Filed under: Mytilus galloprovincialis (Mediterranean mussel)
Lineage: Eukaryota; Metazoa; Mollusca; Bivalvia; Mytilida; Mytilidae
Source: RNAcentral
CUUGUACAGAAACAAUAUGUUGUCGAAAUUCUGUUCGUAUCUUUUAGACAUCGUAUGGCCAUCGCGCCAUCAUCGUAAUCCAUCGUGUAGCCUUUGUAAUCCAUCGUGUAGCCUUCGUGAUCCAUCGUGUAGGCUUCGACUGAGAUAUGAAGCUUAAAAACCCGUCUUCGGUUAACCUUCGUAUGUCCAUCUUUUGCUAUCGUAUAUAAUAUCGGCACCAUCGUAUAGACUUCGUUAUUCAUCGUACUUGCUUCGGUCACUUUUUGGUAUUUUAACGAGAUCG